Molecule: ribosomal RNA, 517 nt
Filed under: uncultured fungus
Lineage: Eukaryota; Fungi
Description: SSU rRNA
Rfam family: Eukaryotic small subunit ribosomal RNA
Source: RNAcentral
AUUAGAUUAAAAACCAAUGCCCUUCGGGGCUCGCUGGUGAUUCAUGAUAACUUCUCGAAUCGCACGGCCUUGCGCCGGCGAUGGUUCAUUCAAAUUUCUGCCCUAUCAACUUUCGACGGCUGGGUCUUGGCCAGCCGUGGUGACAACGGGUAACGGAGGGUUAGGGCUCGACCCCGGAGAAGGAGCCUGAGAAACGGCUACUACAUCCAAGGAAGGCAGCAGGCGCGCAAAUUACCCAAUCCCAACGCGGGGAGGUAGUGACAAUAAAUACUGAUACAGGGCUCUUUCGGGUCUUGUAAUUGGAAUGAGUACAAUUUAAAUCCCUUAACGAGGAACAAUUAGAGGGCAAGUCUGGUGCCAGCAGCCGCGGUAAUUCCAGCUCUAAUAGCGUAUAUUAAGGUUGUUGAGGUUAAAAAGCUCGUAGUUGAACCUUGGACUUGGCCGGCUGGUCCGCCUCACCGCGUGCACUGGUUCGGCUGAGUCUUUCCUUCUGGAGAGCCGCAUGCCCUUCACUGGG